This 76-nucleotide transfer RNA is filed under the name Candidatus Methanophagaceae archaeon ANME-1 ERB6. RNAcentral's name for it is "Methanosarcinales archaeon ANME-1 ERB6 tRNA-Arg". It matches the Rfam family "tRNA". From Rfam's summary of the family: Transfer RNA (tRNA) molecules are approximately 80 nucleotides in length. Their secondary structure includes four short double-helical elements and three loops (D, anti-codon, and T loops). Lineage: Archaea; Methanobacteriati; Methanobacteriota; Methanomicrobia; Candidatus Methanophagales; Candidatus Methanophagaceae. The record is from RNAcentral. RNAcentral also lists the same sequence under 1 other name.
GGGCUCGUGGCUUAGCUUGGAUAAAGCACCGGCCUUCUAAGCCGGGGAUCGCGGGUUCGAAUCCCGCCGAGUCCGC